UUAAAUAAGUGAUUUAUAUAUAUGAUUUCGUUAGUUACAGCAUUCACGGAAAUCUUGGAAGGAUUCAGUAUAACAUAUAUAUACUUACAAUAAUUCUGGGGCGACCGGUUUUUACAAACAUUUUCAGUGACCGGGUGAUGUGACUUUGUCCACAUCAACUAUUGAUGAUAAAAAAAAAAAACUUCUUCGGCAUAUCACGCCACUUUUUUUCUCUUGCCAAACACUUUCCUCUUCUCUCUGCUUACCAAAUCCACCUUGUCGCUGCUCCAAUCCGCAACUGCCGCUGCCACUGCCGUUGCCGCUGCCGAUGCCACUGCCGCCGCUCCCUUCCUUCUCUCUUCUAGCAGCCUUAAGGUAUGUAUACUAUUUGAGAGAUUUCCCAUGUUGCCCUAGAUUUAGAAUAUCAAAUUCCUAAAAGCCUAAAAAAAUUAGAUUUAUACAAAUCUGGGUGUGAUAGAUUUAGAUUCUUGUUUUGGGUGUAACUUUUGUUAUGGAGUAUUUUAUAUGGAUUAUCCUCUUGGGUUUUCCGUUUAUGGUUGAAUUAAUUUGCUCAACAAUAUCCUGCCUUUAUGGUGUGCACUUUUGGUGUUUGAUAAAUUGUCUCAAAGAUGUUCAAGUGCUUUAAAACUAAUUUUCCUCAAAUUUUCAAACAUUAAUUCCAAAUUUUCACCUUUGUUUUUUUAACAAUUUAGUGAUCAGGAAGGUUAUAUUAGCUUCUUUUGAAUUCAACCACGCUGUUUAUGUUAACAAAUUUUCACCUUUUUAUAAAUUUGCAGAAAUGGCAUGUAGUGAUGAGUUUAAUUCAAGUAUGAGAAUGAAUGAUAUCGAGGAAUGUGUUAUGACGGAUGAUUUAGUAGAAAGUGAAGAAGUUGAUGAAGUUAUUAGAGAUCCGGAAGUAGGAAUGGAGUUUGGUUCCGUUGAUUUAUACAUGGAAUAUUACACUAAUUACGGUAACCAAAAUGGAUUUUCGGUGAAAAUAAGAUCAACGGAAAAAGGAGAAAAUGGAGAGACUAAAUUUGUGGUUCUUGCAUGUGCUCGGUCAGGAUGUUCAAUAAGCAAGUCAAAUAAUGCCUUCAACUUACGUCCUGUUAGCAAAACUGGUUGCAAUGCUAAGAUUAGGGCUGCAGUAGUCGAAGACGGAAAAGUGCGAGUAAAGACUCUAACACUUGAUCAUAAUCAUCAGUGCCCGGGAAAAUCUAGAUUUUAUAAGAAAAAUCAGAUUAUGAGCAAGUAUGUGAAAAGGAGACUUGAACUUAACGAUAGAGCUGGUAUUAGACCAAAUAAAAAUUUUAGUUCUUUCUUGGUUGAAGCUGGUGGGCAUGAGAAUGUGUCCUUUUCACAGAAAGAUUGUUACAAUUAUCUUAACAAAGUUAGGCGGUUAAGACUUGGUGAUGGGGAUGCUAUGGCACUUCAAAACUACUUCCAAAGGAUGCAAGCUAAUAAUACAAAUUUUUAUUAUUUGAUGGAUUUGGAUGAUGAUGGGAGACUACGAAAUGUCUUUUGGGCAGAAGCAAGGAGUAGGACAACUUAUGAGGAGUUUGGGGAUGCCAUUACCUUUGACACAACAUACUUAACUAAUAAGUAUGACAUGCCAUUUGCCCCAUUUAUUGGAGUUAAUCAUCACGGUCAAUCAAUACUCUUAGGUUGUGGGGUAAUAUCUCAUGAGGAUAUUGAGUCAUUUAGUUGGAUUUUUAAAGCUUGGCUUGCGUGUAUGAAUGGUCGUGCUCCUACCACAAUAAUCACUGACCAAGACAAAGCAAUGAAGAAGGCAAUUGAAAUUGUGUUCCCCAAUGCACGCCAUAGGUGGUGCUUAUGGCAUAUUAUGAAGAAGUUGCCUGAGAAAUUAUCUGGUUGCAAUCAAUAUGAAUCUAUCAAGUAUUCAAUACAAAAGGCAGUUUAUGAUUCAUUGACUUGUGAAGAGUUUGAAGGGCAAUGGGGUAGUUUCAUUGAGAAAUUUAACUUGAAAGAGAAUGAUUGGUUGACCGGGUUAUACGACGAGAGAAGUCGUUGGGCGCCGGUAUUUUUAAGGAAUACUUUUUGGGCUGGAAUGCCGUCAACUCAAAGAAGUGAAAGUAUGAAUGUUUUUUUUGAUGGUUAUGUGAAUUCAAAGACAACCUUAAAACAAUUUGUUGAGCAGUAUAAGAAUGCAUUGAGAAGUAAGGUACAAAAAGAGAAUGAGGCGGAUUUUAAUUCCUUCGAUCAUUGGAUUCCAUGCCUUACUGACUAUCCAUUUGAGAAACAAUUUCAAGAUACUUAUACCAUGACAAAAUUCAAGGAAUUUCAAGAAGUGGUAAAAGGAAAGCUUUAUUGUGCCAUUGAUUCAGUUAAAGUAGAAUGUGGUUUUGAGGUAUACGACGUUACACAAGAUAUGUUUGGAGGGACUCGCGAAGCCACAUUUAGAGUUUAUUUUAAAGAAGAUGAAUGUACCAUUAAGUUCAACUGUCAAUUAUUUGAGUUCAGGGGAAUAUUAUGUAGACAUGCCCUUACGAUGUUGCUGAAAAAAUGAGUUCGAACCUUACCAGAUAAAUUCAUUCUUCGAAGGUGGAGGAAAGACGUAAAGAGGUGUCAUAAGAAGGUUAAGAUAAUAUAUUCCGACUGGACGUUGAAUCCGAAAAAUAAACGUUUUGAUAGGAUGUGCAACUCUUUUUAUGAAGCGGCAGACUUGGCGACGGAUAAUGAAGAUAAGACAAAAGUUGUUAUGCAUUGGAUUAAAAAUCUUGUUAAUGUACUAAAAAAAGAUGAUGGAACGUGUGGAAGUAAUCAGUCGACUCCUUCCAGACAAGGCACCCAUGUGGGUAGUGGUUGUAAAGAAAGCAAUAAUAUUCGUAGUCCUUUGUCAGUUCAUCGUAAAGGUUGGCCCCGCUUUAAAAGGCUUCAAUAUAAGAUUGAGAAAGUUGUUAGAAGUAUAAGAGUGAGGAAAGGGAAAAAGAAAGAGAAAGAGAAAGAGAAAGAGAAAGAGAGAGAGAAAGGGCAAGGGCAAGGGAAAGACAAGGCUAUUGAACAUAACAUGAAUUUCACUAAUUUGGUAAACCUUUUUAUUUAAUUUUGUCAAAUGUAAAAACUUAUUCAUUUAGAUUAAUUGUAUGUUUUAUUUUACUGCAUUUUCUUUUGUGUAGAGUUCUCAAGAUGACUAUUUUAUAAGCGUACUCAAUAACCCAUAUCAAGUCAAACAUCAAGUUGGACAUGGUCCAGUAGACUACACGAGACAUGGUGCAAUAGAUCUCAAUUUACAGGUUUGUCACUAAUUUAUUUGAAUAAAUCAAAUUCUUAGAGGUUUUAAUUUAUACCAUAAUUAUCAUUAUUUUAAACAUUUUAGGAUGGAGACUUCUCCACCAACGCAAAUCUGCAAUCAUCACAUGUUAAUGACUUUCCAUUUCCCACAAAUCAUGAUGUCUAUUACGGAGGGGGUUUCCCCAUUCAUUUUCAGGUAUAAUAUCUUAUUUCACUACUUUCUCUUUCAAUUUGUGGUGUCUUAUUGGAUGUUAUUUGUUUCUAAAAACUACCAUUUUAUUUUUCUUGUUGCAGGAUUAUUAUAAUCCAUAUUGGAGAAGUGGUGAAGGAUGUGAUCCGAACAAUAGGAGCGGAUAAUAUGGUGGGAUUACUUGAUGAAUAACAUGGGGACGAUGCAUUUGUUGUAGUUCUAUAAAUGUGUGAUACAUUUAUUUUACUUGUAGUUUGUAAAAAUUGUUACAUGUGUAUGCUAAGAAUAUUCAAGGGAAAGGAUCUUUUUAGCAAGGGAAAGCAGUUAUAUUGAUAAUUUUUUGGGCCAGUGAAUCUAAUACUGCUACUAUUAUGAACUGUGUUGGGGCAGUUAGAGUUGCACAAUAUGUGAUGUUGGACUUUUUGAUGUAGAACUUAAGAAGGAAUACUGCUGCUAUUUCCAUGCCUUAUUUUUUAUUUUUCCCCCCUUUUAAUCUAGAACUUUAA
Molecule: long non-coding RNA, 3927 nt
Filed under: Panax ginseng (ginseng)
Lineage: Eukaryota; Viridiplantae; Streptophyta; Magnoliopsida; Apiales; Araliaceae
Description: long non-coding RNA (PGIN_LNC013416)
Source: RNAcentral